GCAAUGGAAGAUGUCGACACCUGUACUACAAGUGGCAUCGAGAUUUAAAGGACCUACUUGCAUGGCCCAUGGGCCUGACAGAGUAAGAAUUGAACAGUACCCAGUGUCUCAAAGGUCACGGUUGGAAGAGAAAUAGACGGGGCGGGAGAAGAGGCUCUAGUCUAAAUGGUCACUUAAAGGAGAAUUCAAUGGCAGGAAUGCUCUAGGCGGAGAAGGCAGGAGCAGGGAAAUCCUGACACUGGAAUAGUUCUAAGAGAUAUGAAUGGCGCGAGACUCCUGAAGCUGACCUCCCUGUCUCCACUGGUGGAAGGCACAGACCACCAGAGGGAGCAGCUGUGCCUGGCACUUCCUGAAUGAAGCCUGCACCUCCUCUGGAAAACACCUUGUCCCUCAGCAACAGGGGAGCCAUUCCAGCCCAGCCCUAUGCCCCUACCUGUCACCAACCCCCAAAUUGAGCCAUGGAGUGUAACAGCAGCAGCCAGGGCCUGCUUUCAGAUCACACCACCGUGGGACCCAGGGCACCAUGUAUUCAGCAGGGAAUGCUGAUCAGGGAUGCCAUCAACCAAGAGGUCUUUUCCAAUCAAGAGAACAGAGUGGCCCCCAUACAACUCAUGUUGUCAUAACGCAGUAGACCUGAUGCCAGGAACCUGUGUUUGCGCCAAAUGUACACUCACACCCAGAAGUGAAGGCCCAGGUCCUCUGAGACCAUGAAGCUCAGCACCCACAGCCAUCUGUCAUUACACACUGACCUUUCCCUGCAGGUGACCAGAAACCAUGUUUAAACUCUUGUAUCAAAAGUGUACCAAAUAUAUAGGAAAAUGCACAUAUCGCAAGGGUACAACUUGAUGCAUUUCUAGGAAAUGAACAGAUCCCUGCAAACGACAUCCAGAUCAAGAAACAGGACAUUGCCCCUAAGUCAGGGCCCACUUCUGCUUCCUUCCAAUCAAUGACCCCAAAGAGUAAUCCCUAUCCUGACUUCUUUCACUGUAGAUUAGUGUUGCC
Molecule: long non-coding RNA, 1002 nt
Filed under: Canis lupus dingo (dingo)
Lineage: Eukaryota; Metazoa; Chordata; Mammalia; Carnivora; Canidae
Description: lncRNA (ENSCAFG00020020141.1)
Source: RNAcentral